RNAcentral lists this ribosomal RNA (324 nucleotides) under uncultured eukaryote. RNAcentral's name for it is "partial 18S ribosomal RNA". It matches the Rfam family "Eukaryotic small subunit ribosomal RNA", at positions 1470 to 1796 of the family's 1831-position model. The record is from RNAcentral.
CCCUUAGAUGUUCUGGGCCGCACGCGCGCUACACUGAUGCAUUCAACGAGUUUCUUCCUGGUCCGAGAGGAAUGGGUAACCUUUUGAAAGUGCAUCGUGAUAGGGAUAGACUAUUGCACUUAUUGGUCUUCAACGAGGAAUUCCUAGUAGACGUAGUUCAUCAGACUGCAUCGAUUACGUCCCUGCCCUUUGUACACACCGCCCGUCGCUCCUACCGAUUGAAUGCUCAGGUGAGCCAUUCGGACUUUCAUCAUGCUGGUUUCCAGUUUUGAUGAAGGAAAGUCUUGCGAACCUUAUCAUUUAGAGGAAGGAGAAGUCGUAACA